AAAUCCGUCGAUUUCAAAAAUCAUGAGGGUUCAAGU
This 36-nucleotide transfer RNA is filed under the name Olearia persoonioides. RNAcentral's name for it is "partial tRNA-Leu". The record is from RNAcentral. Lineage: Eukaryota; Viridiplantae; Streptophyta; Magnoliopsida; Asterales; Asteraceae.